UUCAGUUAAGACAUUUUUUAUGGAUAUCCUGAGUUUCUCUAGUGAAACCUCUUUCAUUUGCUCUCUUUUGUCAGAUGGUAGGGAAGGCUGUAAGUACAAGAUGGGACAGCAAGGACCAGCAACCAGAUGAGGAUAUCUCCUCUAGCCCCAGAGCAUCUUGCCCCUCACAGAGGAGGUAUAUGUAGGGCAACCAGCUUCUCCAUCACCAUGAGCCACCUCCCAAUACAGGUCAGAUGUUGGAGAAGUAGUUGUGGAUGCGAGGAUAGAAUUUUUCAAAAAGUAGACCCUUUCUUUCUCAGAACAUUAACUACUGCCUGAUGUAAGGAUGCGCUGGUCUAACAUGUUUGGCAGAAUGUGAUUUCUCUCUUGCGUCCUACAUAAACACUGAAAUGAGCUUUGUAAAUUCAUCUCUUAUACAUUUAGGUCUCUGGAGUUGGCUGGAUCUUGCCUGUCAGUGUCUCAUCAUGCUAGUAGACUUCAAAGACACAAGCAAAUUUUUCCUGGAGGGAAAAAGUGAGGGAAAAGAUCCUUCCUGAAGUUUUGGACCAGUCUGUUUGCCUGGCCAUGCUGGGAUCUUGGAAUGUCACUUCUGGAAGGUCAUUAAAGGUGACCCAGCCCUCUGCGGGGGGAAUCACAUGCCCAACCCUCCAGCUUUAGGUGGAAUAGUUUUUGGAAAAUCACCAGCCUCUAAUAGCAUUGGUUUCAUUUUUGGGAAGAUUUGAUUUGAUUUGAUUUUUUUUUUCAUAUUAUGCCAAACUCUCCCUGUCCAUGAUAUCUACCUAUUUUACUACCAUUUUUUUACCCCCUGAUGCUGCAAAGCACAUUUCCUCUCCCUUUUGCAGUUCUUUCUUCAGAUGGUGCACAGAGAUGCUGAGAGCCUCGUAUCCGUGAAAUACAAUGCCAUUCUCACCGCCUCGGUCUUUGGAUUAACAAAAGAUGGGAGCUCAAAUCUCAAGAUGGGAGCUGAGAUGCAGUCACACAGAUGUGAUGAACAGAUUGACUUUAAUGCUUCAAGUAUCCAACCAAGGACAAGACUUCUCCAGAUAACAUCUACAGAGGGAAAAGGAUCUAUUCAUGUGGAAUUCUUUUGACUCCAUUCCUACUCAAGUAUCUAAAUUACUGGACGCUUUAGUAUGUAAUAGAAAGAGGACAGCAUAAAAACUUUUAAAAAUUAUCAGGCUGGGCAUAUCAAUAUUUAUUGAAAUACUGAAAAAAAAUUCCAUUUUGUUGAGAAAUUCCUGGCAAGAACUGACAUGACAAUAUGUAUUUCACUGAUACAGGAAGAAAACGUCAACAAGUAACUGACUUCACACUCUAAACAUUGCAUGGAUUCAGGUCCAAGGUAGCUGCAGAAGAUCUGUAAUACAAAUAUUCAGACAUUACAGAUUGUCUGUUUACACACAUAGACCAACUAUAAUAAACCAGGCUAAGCCAAAAACGUUUAUAUUUGA
Molecule: long non-coding RNA, 1451 nt
Filed under: Felis catus (domestic cat)
Lineage: Eukaryota; Metazoa; Chordata; Mammalia; Carnivora; Felidae
Description: lncRNA (ENSFCAG00000047361.1)
Source: RNAcentral